AUCCUGGCUCAGGAUAAACGCGGGCGGCGUGCCUAAGACAUGCAAGUCGAACGGAGAGUUUGUAGCAAUACGGGCUCUUAGUGGCGAAUGGGUGAGUAACGCGUUGGUGACCUGCCCCGAAGUGAGGGAUAACAGUUCGAAAGGACUGCUAAUACCACAUGUGGCCAGCGGAUUUAGAAACCGCUGUCUAAAGGAGUAAUUCGCUUCGGGAGGGGCCUGCGUCCCAUCAGCUAGUUGGUAGGGUAAUGGCCUACCAAGGCUACGACGGGUAGGGGGCCUGAGAGGGUGGCCCCCCACAUUGGCACUGAAACACGGGCCAAACACCUACGGGUGGCAGCAGUCGGGAAUAUUGGGCAAUGGGCGAAAGCCUGACCCAGCAACGCCGCGUGUGCGAUGAAGGUCUUCGGAUCGUAAAGCACUUUUCGGAGAGAUGAGGAAGGACAGUAUCUCCGGAAUAAGGAUCGGCUAACUACGUGCCAGCAGCCGCGGUAAAACGUAGGAUCCAAGCGUUAUCCGAAUUUACUGGGCGUAAAGCGCGUGCAGGCGGUUUGGUAAGUCGGAUGUGAAAGCUCCUGGCUCAACUAGGAGAGGCUGUUCGAAACUACCAGACUUGAGGACGGUAGAGGGAGGUGGAAUUCCCGGUGUAGUGGUGAAAUGCGUAGAUAUCGGGAGGAACACCAGUGGCGAAAGCGACCUCCUGGACCGUUCCUGACGCUCAGACGCGAAAGCUAGGGGAGCAAACGGGAUUAGAAACCCCGGUAGUCCUAGCCGUAAACGAUGUAGACUUGGCGUCGGUGGGGUAAAAGCCAUCGGUGCCGAAGCUAACGCGUUAAGUCUACCGCCUGGGG
Molecule: ribosomal RNA, 848 nt
Filed under: uncultured bacterium
Lineage: Bacteria
Description: bacterial SSU rRNA
Rfam family: Bacterial small subunit ribosomal RNA
Source: RNAcentral